GAUGAACGCUAGCGGCAGACCUAAUACAUGCAAGACGAACGGUAAGUUUGAUAGCAAUAUUGAACCUAGAGUGUCGUAAGGGUGCGUAACACGUAUGCAAUCUACCCUCAACAGGAGGAUAGCUCCCCGAAAGGGGAAGUUAACACUCCAUAAGAUCACAGGAUGGCAUCAUUCAGUGAUUAAAACUACCGGUGGUUGAGGAUGAGCAUGCGCAUGAUUAGUUAGUUGGCGGGGUAAGUGGCCCACCAAGACGAUGAUCAUUAGGGGAACGUGAGAGGUUGAUCCCCCACCACUGGCACUGAGAUACGGGCCAGACUCCUACGGGAGGCAGCAGUAGGGAAUAUUGGACAAUGGGUGCGAGCCUGAUCCAGCCAUGCCGCGUGCAGGAAGACGGCCUUCUGGGUUGUAAACUGCUUUUGCCAGGGGAGUAAAAGAACCAUGCGUGGUCAAUUGAAGGUACCUGGUGAAUAAGCCACGGCGUAACUACGUG
Molecule: ribosomal RNA, 490 nt
Filed under: uncultured bacterium
Lineage: Bacteria
Description: bacterial SSU rRNA
Rfam family: Bacterial small subunit ribosomal RNA
Source: RNAcentral